Dichotomopilus funicola is the source of this 93-nucleotide non-coding RNA. The record is from the annotation of a RefSeq genome assembly. Lineage: Eukaryota; Fungi; Ascomycota; Sordariomycetes; Sordariales; Chaetomiaceae.
GGGUGACUAGUCUAGUGGUCAGGACGCUUCGUUGUGGUCUUCUCGUCCAUAUGCGAGCCCGAAGAAACCCCGGUUCGAUUCCGGGGUCGCCCA